Molecule: non-coding RNA, 130 nt
Organism: Rhypophila decipiens
Lineage: Eukaryota; Fungi; Ascomycota; Sordariomycetes; Sordariales; Naviculisporaceae
Source: the annotation of a GenBank genome assembly
GCCCCCGUGGCUCAGUGGUCUGAGUGCGGACCAGUACUGAUAUUUCAAACACGUUUUCAAGUUAUUUUUCCAAACUGUAUUAGAAAUAUCAGGGCUGGUCCGGUUCGUGGUUCGAUUCCGCUCGGGGGCA